AGCUCCCUGCGAUGCUCGUUUCGGCCUUAUAUUCUUUGAACCAAUAUCGUUGAGAUAUGGUUGCUGAUCCGAUGGACUCUGUGAGCGUGUUCCUUGUGAACGUGCCUAAUGAGUCCGGUGUGCGACCCCUUGAACCCCAGGUUCAAGAUGCUGGGUCAAACGGCAUAGGCGGGGAGUUU
Molecule: non-coding RNA, 179 nt
Filed under: Burkholderiales bacterium
Lineage: Bacteria; Pseudomonadati; Pseudomonadota; Betaproteobacteria; Burkholderiales
Also listed under: 1 other name
Description: 6S RNA
Rfam family: 6S / SsrS RNA
About the family: E. coli 6S RNA was the first non coding RNA to be sequenced, but its function was unknown until recently.
Source: RNAcentral